Molecule: RNA transcript, 7722 nt
Organism: Eriocheir sinensis (Chinese mitten crab)
Lineage: Eukaryota; Metazoa; Arthropoda; Malacostraca; Decapoda; Varunidae
Exons: 2
Source: RefSeq, a predicted model, not a curated record
CUGUGGUAUCAAUAUACCUCAUUAUACCUCAUUGUUAUUACGUAAAAUGUUAAUGUGUAAGGAACUUAUAUGGUGCUAAAAGGAUAAACUUGUAUGGUGCUAUUAGAAGGUAACAUAGGUGCCGUUAAGAACGCUUACACGCAGCUGCCGAUGUUCGUUUGUUUGGGUUACGCGGGCAGCGAGUCUGUCGCUUAUAAGUGGAUAUGAAUUGUAGACUCAGCGAUAUGGAGCGGUGAUUCAAUCCGUGGCACUGGAGGUCAGUAUAUUUUGCUAAUAUUUCUAUGUUAUAACACAAUGUUAAGCUAUGUAAUGUUCACAUACUGUGUAUAAGAGUGUUUAGAAUAGUUUAAGCCAUGAAUGCAACAAUAUAUGACUUAGGCUUCAGUGCAAGGAGCCAGAAAGCCAUGGGAUGUGUAAAUUGAUUAUGUCAUCACUUUUCCCAUAGUUUCACGGCACGACUGGGGCAUGUAUGGCACACAAAAUGGAGGACUCUUUGUCCAAAGCCACAUCAUAGGAAUAAAGGAAAAUUAUACCAACGAAGUUUCCAUGUCCUGCUGGCAGUCCAUGCAUGUCUGCGUGUCUGUGUAAACCAGCCCUAAGGGGUGACUGUUCCAUGUCCGCUUCAGUGAAACUCCAAGAUACUGCAGCUACAAUCAAGCUGCAGUCAUAAGGAAGCACGGCUCUGCAGUGACCUGCAGUAACCACCAACGAUCUGCAGUAAACUUCAGCAACCCUGCAGUGGCCUGCCAUGUAUGUAACUUCACACUGGUCACUUCAAUGUUUCCAUCUCCAUGGACAGGUGAGGCAACACUCCUAGCAAGCACUUACAACCUGUCUACAUCCACUCAUCACCUGCAAGUGAGGGGUUUCCAAGUUCUCUAGGUCACCGGCAUUCAAGAAGUAAGAAGUAAACUCAGUGUUACAUAAAGAUUCACUUAGGUGAUAACAAGUAUAAAUCUUCUUACAAUGAGUUCUAAUGAGGAUGCCACAGUUAUUAAGGGUGACCCAGGUAAGGGCCUGGAUGAGCAGGUGGACGAGGCAGCACGCAGUGAAAGACAGAGAACACAAACAGAGAAGGGUAAAGAGUAUACAAUUCAGGUGUACAAGAGUAGGUGUUCAACAAAUAAGCGUGCUUGGAAGAGGGCAGCAAACAGUAUCUAUGCCAAAGUACAGGGGUCAAGUUGUACUAAUGAAUUACAGGAAUGUAUAAAAGUUAUGGAUACAAAGUUUGAAGAGUUUUACAGUGCUUGCGAGGAAUUAAUUGGAGCUGAUCCUGAAAGUAAUGAACAAAUUACUCAGGAGUUGGAUGACUGUGAGAAGUUUAACUUUAAUGUAAUCCAUGAAGUUGUAGAGAAAAUUAAAUCUCUGCAGCAUGAAAAUGAUUCAGCAAUAUCUGAUAAUUCUAAUGUUUCCAAUGUUUCAAAGGGUAAACAAGAACAGGCUGGAGCUAAGGCAGACCCUGAGGCUGUAUAUAGUAAUGGAAUGAGUCAGUUGGACCCAAGUCAACUUGACAAUGAAUUGAAGGGAAAGGAGCAGAUGCUUCAACAGUACCUAAACAAUCAGCCUCAAACUCUUGCUGAAGUGAAAGCCCAGCCAGUUAAAAGGGAAGAACUUAGCCAACCCUUUGACUUAAAUGAGGUAAAAGAAGAAUUGUAUAAAUCAGUUGAUAGGAUUGUUGAUAUGUUACCUAACAAGGAACUUAACCCUAAUGCCAAGGUUUUCUCACCAAAAGUUGACUUGCAGGAACCUGACACACAUGUGAACAACAAUUCUGGUUGUCGGUCAAAUGGCACUGAUAAUAAUGUUAGGCAUACUACCCAGCCUUCCCCAGGUUCAGUCAGUCAGUUAGAUGCAAUGCAGAGGAUAGCAGAUAUUAUGUCAAUGAGGCAAACCAGAGAUAACCUUCCACGUCCAGAACCAGAAGUGUUCAAGGGAGACAUGUUAGUUUUCACAACAUGGUUAAAAAGUUUUGAAAUUUUCAUUGAGUCCAGAACUACUGAUUUUACCGAAAGGCUCUUUUACCUAGGAAGGUACACCGAUGGUGAAGCCAAGGAAGCAAUCAGUGGAUUGCUUCAGCUAAAUACUGAAGAAGCUUACAUAAAGGCUAAGAAAACCCUAAAGGGUAGGUUUGGAAAUCAGUUUCUUGUGUCUAAUGCCUACAGAAAGAAGUUAUAUGAGUGGCCAAAAAUUCAGCAGAAUGAUGGCCCAGCACUAAGGAAAUUUGCAGAUUUCCUGGACAGCUGCAAGACAGCAAUGGAAAGCAUACCUCAUCUAGUGGUGUUAGAUGACUCACAGGAGAAUGUCAAAUUAUUGAAAAAGUUACCUGUCUCACUAGUUGAGAAAUGGAACACAGUAGUGUACAAGUAUGCUUCUAGAGGUGAUGAUGAUAGUGACGAUGAAGGUCUAACAGACAUAAGUUCUGAACAAUAUCCUCCCUUUAAAAGGUUCUGUAAGUUCAUACGUAGAGAGGCUACAAAGGCGUGCAACCCAAUAUCAUCGUACAGUGCAGUCAUAGAUAAGAAUCAAAGGAGCACUGCAGUUGUAGCCAAAGGAAGAAAUAGUAGUUCAAGUACUGAUAAAUCUGGAAACAGAAGUUUCAAGACAGAGGCAUCAGAGGUAAACUCGUCACACACAACAACGGACAACAAGGCUAGAUAUGAUAAAAGGCAUGAAGUAAGAAAAACAGGGCCAAGGAGACUGAGCUGCCUUUAUUGCAAUGAAGAGCAUGAAAUAGAUGUGUGUAAAAGGUUUAACUUGCUUGAUAACAAUGCAAAGUUUGACUUUGUGCAGAAGCAGUACUUGUGUAGAGGAUGUUUGAAGCGUGGUCACAGAAAGAUAGAUUGCCGUCAUAAGAAAUGUUGUAGUAUAUGUCAACGAUACCACCCAACAUCUCUUCACAAUAAUGCUCUUGCACAAAAUAGUGCUCCAACUGUCAGGGCAGGAGAGUCAGAUAAAGCAACUCAGCCAAAGGCAAAUGAAAGCUCAGCAGUUUCAAACAAGAUUAACACCAGUCAGUCUAUGACUGGAGAUAUGCACACCAUGAUUGUGCCAGUGUGGUUACACCACAGAGACAAUGAACACAAUAAAAAGUUGGUGUAUGCAUUAUUGGAUUGUCAGUCUGAUGCCUGUUUCAUCAAAGAAAGCACCUUGGAAAGAAUGGGAGUUAGUGGCUCACCAGUACACCUCAAGCUCUCCACAAUAACGGGAGAACAGGUAGUCCCCUGCACAAAAAUCAGUGGACUUGUUGUACGAGGAUUCAGUGAGCACAUGCAAAUAGAUCUUCCACCUGCAUAUUCCAAGGAAGAUAUUCCUGCAAAGGAGGCUCAGAUACCAUGCCCUGAAACAGCCCAAACCUGGCCACACUUAGCAAGAAUCUCUAACAAACUGAUGCCUUAUGAUUCAAAUGUAGAUGUGGCACUUCUUAUUGGAGCUAACUGUAUCAGAGCCAUUAAGCCCAAAGAGAUUAUUGUGGGAGAAGAAGAUGAUCCUUAUGGACUAAAAACACACUUAGGAUGGGGCGUUGUUGGCCAAGCAAUUAAAGAAACUAAGAAAGUUUCAGAUGAUGUAGUGAGAGCAUAUAGAACUAUAGCCCAAGAAGUUGUCAUCAGUGAAGAAAGAAAAGUUAGUUUCCUUGUUGUUCCUACACAGACAAAGGAGUUAAUAAAUCCAGCACAAGUCAGGAACAUGUUUGAGCUUGAUUUUAAUGAUAAAGGAACUGACAACACUCCCUUUUCCUAUGAUGACAAAGGAUUCCUGAAAAGGAUGAGAGAGGGAGUGAGUCAGCAGAGAGAAGGACACUAUGAGCUGCCUCUUCCACUUAAGAAUAAUGACAUCAAGCUUCCAAACAACAAGGACAUGGCCUUGCAUAGGCUCAUGAAGUUAAAGGCAAAACUUAUGAGAGAUAGAAAGUACCACCAAGAUUACAAGGAAUUCAUGAAAGAAUUAAUUGACAAAGGCUAUGCAGAAACUGUGCCAGCCAGGGACUUGCAACGAGCAGAUGGUCAGGUGUGGUAUAUACCUCACCAUGGGGUUUACCACCCAAAGAAACCAGGAAAGAUAAGAGUGGUAUAUGAUUGUAGUGCUAACUACAGAGGUCAUUCUUUAAAUGGUCACCUGUUACAGGGCCCAGACCUAACAAACAAUCUGGUUGGGGUUCUAUGUAGAUUUCGUCAGGAAGUGACAGCCUUUGUAUGUGACAUAGAAGCAAUGUAUCACCAAGUCAAGGUGAACCCUGAACAAAGAGAUUUGCUGCGCUUUCUGUGGUGGAAUAAUGGAAAUCCAGGUGAGAAUAUGCUUGAAUACAGAAUGACGGCCCAUUUGUUUGGAGCAACAUCAUCUCCAAGUGUUGCUAAUUUUGCACUUAAGCAAGCUGCAAAUGACUAUGAGGCUCAGUAUGGAUAUGAAGCAGCAAACUUCAUCAGGAAAGAUUUUUAUGUUGAUGAUGGACUUAAAUCAGUACCAACAGCACAGGAUGCCAUUGAUCUGCUAAUGAAAAGCAAGGCAUUGUGUAAAAUGGGAGGUUUUAAUCUCCAUAAGUUUCUGUCAAACAGUAAGGAAGUGUUAGCAGCAAUAGCUCCUGAAGAAAUGAAUAACACUGUCAAGAGCCUGGACUUAAGUAAAGACAUGCUACCUGUAGAAAGAACACUUGGAGUGGAGUGGUGUGUAGAAUCUGAUACUUUCCAGUUCAGAAUACAGGUCAAAGAAAAGCCACUCACAAAAAGGGGCAUAUUGUCUACUGUGAGUUCAAUAUAUGAUCCGUUAGGCCUUGUGUCUCCUCUCAUCCUCAUUGGCAAAGGGAUACUCCAGGAGUUAUGCCGUGAAGGAGUAAGUUGGGAUGAGGAGAUACCACAGUAUGUGAGGCCACAGUGGCAGCAAUGGAGAGAUGACCUACACAAAUUAGAGCACUUAAAAAUACCACGAUGUUACAAGCCUGAAGGAUUUGGUGAAAUUAAGAAAGUUGAACUGCAUCAUUUUUCUGAUGCCAGUCAAAAGGGAUAUGGUCAGUGCUCUUACAUAAGACUGAUCAACACUGCUGAUCAAAUACACUGUGCACUUGUAAUGGCAAAAUCAAGAGUGACACCCCUCCGAGCCAUCACUGUGCCGAGAUUGGAACUCACAGCAGCAGUAGUGUCGGUGAGAAUCAGUGCAGUCUUAAAGAAGGAGUUAGACUAUGAAGAUAUUCAGGAAGUGUUUUGGACAGACAGUAUGGUAGUGCUGGGAUACAUCAACAAUGAUUCUAAACGAUUUCAUGUAUAUGUAGCCAACAGAGUCCAGCAGAUAAGAGAUCAAACUUCACCAAGUCAGUGGAAGUAUGUGGAAACAGAGCACAACCCAGCAGACUAUGCCUCAAGAGGGCAGUCUGUAGAAGAGUUAAUUAACAACGACAAGUGGUGGAAUGGACCACGCUUCUUGUGGCAACACUUUGAGAUGAAUGAUAACCCAUCAGAGCAUCAUGAAUUGGAAGAUGAUGAUCCUGAAGUAAAAAGAGUUGCAUCAUGUGCUACACAGACACAUGAGCCGUUUAAUGUACUAGAGAGGCUGAACUGUUUCUCUGAGUGGUUCCGUAUGAAGAGAGCCAUUGCAGUGUGCCUUAGACUUCAAAGGAUGUACAAGAAGAAUGCAGAUGGGACACAUAAAGGAAGAAGCCAAGAAUACAUUCCACUGACAGUACAGGAACUGAAAGAAGCUGAAACUGAGAUAAUAAGGCAGGCCCAGGCUCAUGCCUUCCAUGAGGAAAUAAAGAUGCUGAAGGGUGCAGGAAACCAUGAGUCUUCCCCACAGACAAAUAGAAGAGAAACAACAGUAAAGAAAACAAGCAAGUUGUACAAACUUGAUCCCUUCAUAGAUGAAGAUGGAAUAGUAAGAGUUGGGGGAAGAAUAAGGAUGUCUACUCACCAAGUAGCAAGACAUCCAGCAAUCCUGCCUAAGGAUUCUCAUGUUACUGAUCUACUGAUUUGCUACUACCACAAAAGGGUACAUCAUCAGGGUAGGGGCAUAACACUAAAUGAAAUUAGAGCAUCUGGGUACUGGAUUUUGGGGGGCUCAUCUCUGGUGGCUAGAUAUGUCUCAAAAUGUGUAGUCUGCAGAAGAGUUAGAAGUGACACACAAGGUCAAAAGAUGGCAGACUUGCCACAAGAUAGGCUAGAGCCUUCCCCUCCCUUUACUUAUGCUGCAGUUGACUUUUUUGGUCCUUUCUACAUCAAAGAGGGACGUAAAGAGCUAAAGAGAUAUGGGGUUCUUUUCACAUGCAUGGUAUCACGUGCAGUCCAUCUAGAGACAGCAAACAGUCUGGACACUACUUCCUUUCUCAGUGCCUACCGCCGCUUUAUAGGAAGAAGAGGGCCAGUAAGGCAGUUAAGAUCAGACCAAGGAACAAACUUUGUGGGUGCAAAAAACGAGUUAGCCAACUCUUUGAGAGAAAUGGAUGAGGAGAAGCUCAGAACCGAACUACUGAAGGACAGUUGUGAUUGGGUUCAUUUCAAGAUGAAUGUACCACAUGCUAGCCAUAUGGGUGGGGUGUGGGAGAGACAAAUAAGAACAGUGAGAAGCAUAUUGUCAGUGCUACUUGAUCAACAUGGACCUCAGUUAGAUGAUGAGACACUUAGAACAUUCAUGAUAGAAGCAGAGACAGUUGUAAAUGGUAGACCUCUAACUGUGGAUAACCUUACCUCUCCUACUAGCUUAGAACCACUGACACCCAACACUCUGUUAACUAUGAAGUCAAAGAUUGUGAUGCCUCCUCCAGGUAAAUAUGAAAGAAUUGACUUGUACUCAAGGAAACGUUGGCGUAGGGUACAGUUCCUUGCAAAUGAGUUCUGGUCAAGGUGGAAAAGGGAAGUUUUGCAGUCUCUUCAGCUUAGAAAUAAAUGGCAGAAACCUCAAAGAAACCUCAAGGUGGAUGAUAUUGUUAUUGUUAAGGAUUCCAACCUAGCUAGAAACCAAUGGAAGCUAGGCAGAAUAACUGAGUGUCUUCCAAGUGAUGAUGGUCUUGUGAGAAAGGUGAAAGUGAUGAUGUCAGACUCAUGUCUUGACAAUUCAGGGAAAAGAAUAAAGGCAAUGAACAUUGUUGAAAGGCCUGUUCAUAGUCUUGUUCUCUUGUUAGAAUGUACUACUCAGGAAGACCAGGGCGACCCCACCGAGGAGCCUAAAUGAUCUGUUUGUACUUAGGAAGUGCAAAGAUGAUGUUAGCAGUAUUUCAUGUAUCUGUAAUACUCAUGUUAUGAUCAAUGUAUUAAGUAGUUAUAAGUUAAAUUGUCCUACAAUUUAGGGGAGCCAUGUAACUGUGGUAUCAAUAUACCUCAUUAUACCUCAUUGUUAUUACGUAAAAUGUUAAUGUGUAAGGAACUUAUAUGGUGCUAAAAGGAUAAACUUGUAUGGUGCUAUUAGAAGGUAACAUAGGUGCCGUUAAGAACGCUUACACGCAGCUGCCGAUGUUCGUUUGUUUGGGUUACGCGGGCAGCGAGUCUGUCGCUUAUAAGUGGAUAUGAAUUGUAGACUCAGCGAUAUGGAGCGGUGAUUCAAUCCGUGGCACUGGAGUUUCACGGCACGACUGGGGCAUGUAUGGCACACAAAAUGGAGGACUCUUUGUCCAAAGCCACAUCAUAGGAAUAAAGGAAAAUUAUACCAACGAAGUUUCCAUGUCCUGCUGGCAGUCCAUGCAUGUCUGCGUGUCUGUGUAAACCAGCCCUAAGGGGUGACUGUUCCAUGUCCGCUUCAGUGACU